RNAcentral lists this ribosomal RNA (440 nucleotides) under uncultured bacterium. RNAcentral describes it as "partial 16S ribosomal RNA". It matches the Rfam family "Bacterial small subunit ribosomal RNA", at positions 338 to 795 of the family's 1533-position model. The record is from RNAcentral.
CCUACGGGAGGCAGCAGUGGGGAAUAUUGCACAAUGGGGGAAACCCUGAUGCAGCGACGCCGCGUGAAGGAAGAAGUAUUUCGGUAUGUAAACUUCUAUCAGCAGGGAAGAAAAUGACGGUACCUGACUAAGAAGCCCCGGCUAACUACGUGCAAGCAGCCGCGGUAAUACGUAGGGGGCAAGCGUUAUCCGGAUUUACUGGGUGUAAAGGGAGCGUAGGCGGUUUAGCAAGUCAGAAGUGAAAGCCCGGGGCUCAACUCCGGGACUGCAUUUGAAACUGUUGAACUAGAGUGCAGGCGAGGUAGGUGGAAUUCCUGGUGUAGCGGUGAAAUGCGUAGAUAUUAGGAAGAACACCAAUGGCGAAGGCAGCUUACUGGACUGUAAAUGACGCUGAGGCUCGAAAGCGUGGGGAGCAAACAGGAUUAGAUACCCCAGUAGUC